Molecule: ribosomal RNA, 279 nt
Filed under: uncultured bacterium
Lineage: Bacteria
Description: partial 16S ribosomal RNA
Rfam family: Bacterial small subunit ribosomal RNA
Source: RNAcentral
UGCCAGCCGCCGCGGUAAUACGAAGGGAGCGACCGUUGUCCGGAAUUACUGGGCGUAAAGAGCAUGUAGGCGGCUUUAUCAGUUGGGUGUGAAAUCCCGGGGCUCAACCCCGGAACUGCAUCCAAUACUGUAAAGCUAGAGACCGAGAGAGGAAAAUGGAAUUACGAGUGUAGAGGUGAAAUUCGUAGAUAUUCGGAGGAACACCAGUGGCGAAGGCGGCUCACUGGCUUGAUACUGACGCUGAGGUGCGAAAGUGUGGGGAGCAAACAGGAUUAGAUA